RNAcentral lists this ribosomal RNA (465 nucleotides) under uncultured bacterium. Its description in RNAcentral is "partial 16S ribosomal RNA". It matches the Rfam family "Bacterial small subunit ribosomal RNA", at positions 28 to 507 of the family's 1533-position model. The record is from RNAcentral.
GACGAACGCUGGCGGCGUGCUUAACACAUGCAAGUCGUACGGUAAGGCCCUUUCGGGGGUACACGAGUGGCGAACGGGUGAGUAACACGUGAGUAACCUGCCCACAACUUUGGGAUAACGCUAGGAAACUGGUGCUAAUACUGGAUAUGUGCUCCUGCUGCAUGGUGGGGGUUGGAAAGCUCCGGCGGUUGUGGAUGGACUCGCGGCCUAUCAGCUUGUUGGUGGGGUAGUGGCCUACCAAGGCGGCGACGGGUAGCCGGCCUGAGAGGGAGACCGGCCACAUUGGGACUGAGAUACGGCCCAGACUCCUACGGGAGGCAGCAGUGGGGAAUAUUGCACAAUGGGCGCAAGCCUGAUGCAGCAACGCCGCGUGCGGGAUGACGGCCUUCGGGUUGUAAACCGCUUUCAGCAGGGACGAAGCUUUUUGUGACGGUACCUGCAGAAGAAGCACCGGCUAACUACGUG